CCUACGGGUGGCAGCAGUGGGGAAUAUUGCACCAUGGGGGAAACCCUGAUGCAGCGACGCCGCGUGAGCGAAGAAGUAUUUCGGUAUGUACAGCUCUAUCAGCAGGGAAGAAAAUGACGGUACCUGACUAAUAAGCUCCGGCUAAAUACGUGCCAGCAGCCGCGGUAAUACGUAUGGAGCAAGCGUUAUCCGGAUUUACUGGGUGUAAAGGGAGCGUAGGCGGUAAGGCAAGUCUGAUGUGAAAGGCCAGGGCUCAACCCUGGGACUGCAUUGGAAACUGUUUAGCUGGAGUGUAGGAGAGGCAAGUGGAAUUCCUAGUGUAGCGGUGAAAUGCGUAGAUAUUAGGAGGAACACCAGUGGCGAAGGCGGCUUACUGGACGAUAACUGACGCUGAGGCUCGAAAGCGUGGGGAGCAAACAGGAUUAGAUACCCGAGUAGUC
This 440-nucleotide ribosomal RNA is filed under the name uncultured bacterium. RNAcentral's name for it is "partial 16S ribosomal RNA". It matches the Rfam family "Bacterial small subunit ribosomal RNA", at positions 338 to 795 of the family's 1533-position model. The record is from RNAcentral.